RNAcentral lists this ribosomal RNA (393 nucleotides) under uncultured bacterium. RNAcentral's name for it is "partial 16S ribosomal RNA". It matches the Rfam family "Bacterial small subunit ribosomal RNA", at positions 523 to 918 of the family's 1533-position model. The record is from RNAcentral.
AUACGGAGGAUGCGAGCGUUAUCCGGAUUUAUUGGGUUUAAAGGGUGCGUAGGCUGUGCGUUAAGUCAGGGGUGAAAUGCCGUCGCUCAACGACGGAGCUGCCCUUGAUACUGGCGUGCUGGAGUACGGAUGCCGUUGGAGGAAUGAGUGGUGUAGCGGUGAAAUGCUUAGAUAUCACUCAGAACACCGAUUGCGAAGGCAUCUGACGAAUCCGUCACUGACGCUGAGGCACGAAAGCGUGGGGAUAGAACAGGAUUAGAUACCCUGGUAUUCCACGCCGUAAACGAUGAUGACUAACCGUCGGCGAUAGACAGCCGGUGGCCAAGCGAAAGCGAUAAGUUAUCCACCUGGGGAGUACGACCGCAAGGUUGAAACUCAAAGGAAUUGACGGGG